UACGGAGGAUGCAAGCGUUAUCCGGAAUGAUUGGGCGUAAAGCGUCCGCAGGUGGCUAUGUAAGUCUGCUGUUAAAGAGUGAGGCUCAACCUCAUAAGAGCAGUGGAAACUACAUGGCUAGAGUGCGUUCGGGGCAGAGGGAAUUCCUGGUGUAGCGGUGAAAUGCGUAGAGAUCGGGAAGAACAUCGGUGGCGAAAGCGCUCUACUGGACCGCAACUGACACUGAGGGACGAAAGCUAGGGGAGCGAAUGGG
Molecule: ribosomal RNA, 253 nt
Filed under: uncultured bacterium
Lineage: Bacteria
Description: partial 16S ribosomal RNA
Rfam family: Bacterial small subunit ribosomal RNA
Source: RNAcentral